Molecule: transfer RNA, 73 nt
Filed under: Ovis aries (sheep)
Lineage: Eukaryota; Metazoa; Chordata; Mammalia; Artiodactyla; Bovidae
Rfam family: tRNA
About the family: Transfer RNA (tRNA) molecules are approximately 80 nucleotides in length.
Source: Rfam by way of RNAcentral
ACCCUAGUGGUCCAGUGGCUAAGACUCCAGUCUCCCAGUGCAGGAGGCCCAGGUUCAAACCCUGGUUGGGGGA